RNAcentral lists this transfer RNA (70 nucleotides) under Diplophos taenia (Pacific portholefish). Its description in RNAcentral is "tRNA-Pro". It matches the Rfam family "tRNA". From Rfam's summary of the family: Transfer RNA (tRNA) molecules are approximately 80 nucleotides in length. Their secondary structure includes four short double-helical elements and three loops (D, anti-codon, and T loops). The record is from RNAcentral. Lineage: Eukaryota; Metazoa; Chordata; Actinopteri; Stomiiformes; Diplophidae.
CAGGGGGUAGUCUAAUUUAGGAUCUCAGCUUUGGGAGCUGGGGGCGGGAGUUGAAAUCUCUUCCCUCUGA